AAAUAAAAUAAAAUUUCAGAACAGCCGGAACCGGAACCGCAAGAACCGGAACCGUAUGGUACCUGGAACCGUCACGGGCCGGUUCCACUUUCAGAACCGCCAGAACCGGAACCGGAUACAGCCUUAGCUUUUGAUGCCCUCUUAACAUGGUCGUCAUUCCGGCACCGACGCAACCACCAAUCACUACUACUCCAGCCUGGCCACCUCCCUCACCACACUCACCUCGGGCUCUUUACUCUCACCUGCUCUUCUAAUCUCCAGAUCUUUCAUAAAGCCCUUAUUUUCUUGAGGGAACAUGGGUUCAAAGAUGUUAACAACAAAAGAGAAAGCAAAGUUCACAAUUUUUGGGAUCUUUCCGAAACUAAAACAAAUUUCAUUGGGAAAGAGAGAGAAAUCUCCAUUGAUUGCAUAACAGGGGAAGAUCCAAGGUUGUAUUUCAGCAUGGGCAGCAAAAAGGUAUUGAAGAUUAAGCACUUGAAAUGAAAAAUUAGAGGCAAUGAGAGGAUUGAAGUUGAUGAGUUUUAUGGGAUGUCAUAACUGGUUCUUUGAUGAUUACGAAAAUGGCUAUACUUUGUUGAUGUUCAAAUUCGAGAAAUCAAGUUAUGACGCUGUUGCUGAUGACCACAACUUGAAUAAUGGAGUCCAAAUGUGGUCCCAACAAUAUUUUGGGUUCGGGUUCGAGACAAAGUUGAUGAAGAAUUGUUUAUUGAGAAGUUGAAAAAGUUCAUCUUCUUAGUCUCUAUCUUUGGCAUCUUCAAGGUGUACAACUCCGUUAUGGAAUGGCCCAACACUAAAGAAAAUGAAUUGAAGGGUCUUUUGAAUUUUCCUUGCCGGUACAUGCUUGGAAGAGAUGAGCAAAUUAAGUUCCAAGCAAGGAAAUUAAAAUUACAAUUGUCUUCUUCACUAGCGGGUCGGGCUACGGUAAUUGAGUUAUAAGCCGGGUAGAUUAAAUUGGGGUGAGAGGAGUUGUCACGUGGUCCUCCGUAAAAAAUAAGAGCAAAUAUGACUCGUAGUAUAAUGAUAGGGUCUGAAAGAGCAAAAUAGUAUAACUAAGGUUAGUUUAAACAAUUUUUAAUAGAAAAGGAAUAUAUUUGACCAUUUUCCAAAAAAAUACAGAUGGAUGACUCCACUGGUAAAGAAAUUCGAUAUCCAAUAGAAUUGGUUACGUACUUGUAUAAUUUCUAAUUUCCCGAGAAAGUAUUAAUUAUUAUUAAUUGUAAUCACAAUUUAAUGUUUGUUCUAGAUGUCAUACCUCUUUUUUGCAUCUGAAAGAUAUAUAAGGAAAUUUUUCUAAUUAAAGUGACGUUAUUCGAAAUGAGAUUAUUUAUUCAACUUUAUUCAGAGUCGUCACUUGGGAUAGUUUAUUUGAUGUGCCAAGUCACCGGUUUAUUUUUAAAUCCUAGAUCGAGGAAAUUUAACUUUUCUUUUGAAGUAUACGAACCAGAAAUUCUAAAUAAGAAAUUUUAUUAACCCGAGGGAAGAUGUUAGGCACUCUCGAAUUUCAUGAUUCUAGCACGAUUGUUUAAACUAUUUUAAUUGGCCUAUUAUAUGAUUUUUAAUACAUGUUUUAGCCUAUGGUAUAAUUUUAACUUAUUAACCGCUUUUUAAUUAUUUUUAGGAAGAUUCGAUGUUAUCUAACACACAUCUUAAAUCACGCCAAUGAAAUGCACCCACAGUCCACAUCACAUUUUAUUUAACUUUAUUGAGAUUUGGAUUUUGGUCACAUGAAAUGUACACCCGAGUUUAAGGAAGUUAAUUUAAAUUAAGCAUCUGAAGCAAUUACGCACUUUUAAGUUUGCGCAGGCCAUGAAAAAUUUGGCUAAAUGGCACACCUUGAUUUCUAAAAGAAUAAAUUAAUUGAGGGCCAUGAGUUUUAAAAUUUUAUUUGGCAUGACACGCCUCAAAUUAUUAAAGGUUCUAAUUAAUUUAUUGAAAGGCCAAGGGAAUUUCAAAUUUAUUCUUUUAUGGGGGCUACUAUUUAAACUCUACAAACGAUCAGCUAACAAUUGAGGAAUCAAGCUGAUGUUGAGGGGUUCUGGGCUCGCAAUUGAGCCCAAAGCAAAAGAAGAACCAAAUUUGUUCUCUCUAGGCCUUACAAAAAAUAGACCAUUUCAUACGGCCCAAACCGUCUCUGUAUUUAAGCUAAACAUUUAAGGUUUGCCCAUAGCAAUUUUUUAACAUUCAAAUUGUUUUAAAUAUACAAAUUGCAAAGAAAGAAUGUGAUACCAAAACUGAAAAUGGCUAUACAGAAUUACCUAUAUUACCAUUAACGAGACACCCAAAUUUUGGAUAUGAGUUAUGCUAAUCAAUCACAACAACUCAAGAUCACACAGAAAUCUGUUGUUUAAGAAGGAGAAACUUUAACUAACUUCGGUUUUUUAAAAGCAAACAAACUAAAACGACAUCAAAGAAUGCAUUUACUAAUACCUAUAAACUCCAAGCCCUUGAAGAAUGAAAGAAUGCUAACUUAUUAAGGUUUGAAACCCAGUCUUUUCAACAGAAUUCCUAACAUCAAGGCUUAAUGCUUUUACCCCUGUUAUUUACAAACCAAACAUCAGAUUCUGAUGUUAUUUAAACCAAAAUUAUAACAAAACAAAUCAUAAAGGUUUACUUAGAACAGAGCGCCACCAUACAGCUCACAUGUUAUUCAACUAAGUUAUGUCCAUAUCCCAACAGUCCAAAGUUAAAUACAAUAGCAAGAAUUCAAUUAUUAAAACCAAAAAUAAACUAGCAAAUACAGUAAAUCUGGAAAUAAAACACAAUAUAUUUUAGAGAAAUACAACUGAACUAUUAACAGAUAACUUGAUGUUAUGCUCUUAACUCCAUUUUUCAUUUCAUACUUCAAAUUUUGCUUCACAUCUAGUAUAGUUCAAGAAUAAGUACCUGAUUGCAGCAAUCAAAAAUAAGGACAAAUGAGUGUGAAGUCUAGAGGAAACAUCAACAACAGAACCAACUUAGAAUCCCAACAAUACCAACGUAAACCAACUUCUUAAAACCAAAAGAAAAACUAAAUGAAAACCAGUCUUUGAAGAACCCAAAACUCUGAUUAAAUACGCUUUAAAGCAGAUUUGAAUCAAUUUGAACCAAAGCAAGAAUUCCAGUUUCUUGCAAAGCUUUUCAGACUCCUGCCCUUUUUUAGUUUUUUAAUAUUUUUAAUCUCUAAUUCUGACUUGUUGGUGAAGAAACUAUGCCUUUAUAGGCAAGCCUUACGGCAACAGAAAGUGAAUUCGGUUUAGCUCUUUAAUCAUUUUGAUAUUUUCAUUUUUGCUCCUCUACCCUUAGUUUAAAAUUAGCUUUUUAAGUUAGUCCCUAAACCCACCUUCUAGGAAACUUCCUAAGUUAGUUAUGCAAGAUUCUCUAAGCUAAAAUCCCUAAACUACCCUUAAAACCUCUAUUAUUUACCCUUCUAACCUAAACUAACAAAAUCCUAGGGCUAUUGUUGGGACGGGUAAAAAAUAAACCGAGGGCCCAAAAUUUCCAACUAGCCCAUGAGUAUUCGAAAAUCUGACCUAGACAAAAUAACACUCAAACGAUGGCUCCAAAAGAACAAAAACAAUUUUAAUACUUACUCUGAAAAUAAACUGAAUUAAUUCUGUUCCUUUAACAAAAAUUAUCCAAGAUUAACUCAUGGCUACUGUUUAUAUGAAUUUAAACUGAUUAAAAACAGAAACAGAGGGAAAAGAAAAUGAAAGAAUAAAAUGGAGGAGAAACAGAAACCGGGAAACACACGGACAAGGAAUACCUAAGGUCGGAGACAAACGGACUUGAAAAUAUUGUCCGGCAGCUUCUGAUUUGACCCAAACUGGUAUCAAUCACAUGUUCUCUUUUGAGAACAAAUGAACAAUACUAGUUUCAGGCCCAAUCGUUCAUAGAAACUUGAAGACUUGAAAGAUCUUCUUUUCUUCAUUUUUAGAUCUGAAACUGACCCGAUUUGGUGAGGACUUGGGGAGAAGAGGUGGUAGAUUGGGACUCAGGGAUGAAUGGUGGUUGUGUGGUUAAAUUUUUAUGGUGAUUUGAGCUCCGCCUCUAGCGAAAGAUGGUGAAACAUUCACGGCGCGGGUCUAGGGUUAGAGAUGAGGGAGAUAAAGUGAAGGGGUGCUUGGGAACUGACUUGUCUCUGGGGACUUGGACAGUCUUAAGCGAAAAUAG
This 4149-nucleotide long non-coding RNA is filed under the name Nicotiana benthamiana. RNAcentral describes it as "long non-coding RNA (NBEN_LNC033343)". The record is from RNAcentral. Lineage: Eukaryota; Viridiplantae; Streptophyta; Magnoliopsida; Solanales; Solanaceae.